UGAAUGUCGUUUAUUCUCAGCUUUGAGAACUGAAUUCCAUGGGUUGUAAUUGAAUCCGCUGUCAGACCCAUGGGGCUCAGUUCUUCAGCUUGGAUAUUUCUGUCUUCAUACACACGGGAGAUCAAAGAAGCAGUUGAUCAUUCACUGACUCUUCUGGAUGGUGAUAGCUGCAAGUAGGAGAGAACGAAUAACUGAUGUGAAUCAUUUUAACAGGCAGGUUUCAUUGUGAAGGCCAGGCUCUCUCAUGUUAUAUAGCUAUAUGGUGAUUGAAUCUCUCCUUAACUGAUAGGCUCUAUGUUGCUAUUCACUGCUUAAUUCACUCCGUUCUUUUCUCUCAAUUUUAUCAAGGUUACUUAUAAAUCCUGAGAUACUGCUGAUUGAACGACAGUCCCCAAAUAGUGCAAAGUGAUGCAGUGCUCCUAUGAGCAGCUGUGGUGAACUUCACUAGACCAGUACAACCCUGGAUCUCCCCCAUUUGAACACCAAGUUUCCCAGCUGAUAAUGUGCUGUAACCUCCUCUGUCUGGUACCACUACUGUGCAGUUAUUGUUUCUUUUGCUUUGCCAAAUAUCCGUUGUCAGCAAGAAAAAUAUCUGGCUUGCGACUGUAAAGAAUAUGCAUUUGCACCAGCUGCCAGCACCCUUACAUAAACACACAUUUGCUUUCCUGAACAUGGUAAUAUGCUCCCAGAGUGUUUGGAUUAGGGAGUUUCUAGUGUAAUCAGUGAUGGCAAUGUGAGUGCUGUUUGAAAGCUCAGCAGCACAAGCAUCCCUUUAUAGGGGGAUUUAUUUAAGUCACAGGCUAAUGUAUUUUUUAUUGGAGAAUCUAUGCUAAAAUUUUUCAUUCAGGCAUAAGGAAAAUAAUAUUUGUGGUCUUUAAACAUGUAAAGAGUUAUCACUGCUAAUGAGCUUUCCACCUCUUUCCUGCAAUAAUAACACCUUCUAAAUUACAUUUUUCCAGCUCAGUAAAGUGAUACAUUGAUCUCAUCCCUGUGGUGCAAUGCUCUCAAAAGCAUAGAAAUAUGAAAAUCCCACAGGUGCAGGAGCAGUGUGCUCAGCUAAGUAGCUUAAAACUGUCAUGUGCCUUUUACUCUGAAAAUGUAUUUACACUAAAAAUAAUCAGAUACAAUCACUGUUGCCUGUGGAUACAGAUGUACCUUCAUACUGAAGUGCUUUUCAUAUAAGUUUUUAUUCUAGGUGCUGAAGAUGUUCUUUGUGGCUGUCUGAAGCGUAUUGUGCUCACUAGUCUAGAUAUUACAGUUCUUGGAAGAAUUCAGCAGUUUCAGCAGCUCCUGCUGUGCGAAUAUCCAUUAAAGAAGAGGGAGGAAUGCACAAAGCAGAGUGAUGAAGUCCCACUUUUUCAUUUCCUCUAUCAUCCCUGUCAGAAAGAGGAAACAAAGUUUGAGGUCAGAGUUAGAAAAAUCUGCAGAAGAAGAGGAACAGAAUAGUUCUACAGGAUGUCUAAUGCAGGCAGCGUGGUGGAUAGCAGAUGGCUGAAGGCACAAAACUUCAUCCACUUCCUUCGCUGUGAAGUCCAGCCUUCAGGCAGUGAUGCAGCAGAGAAGACGAUGUGUUUAUAGUGGUAACCACACAAGGUCACUGAUGAAAUCAAGAUGGUCUUUGGUGCAGGAGUCUUUGCAGUCCCGUCUCUUUGAGGGCAACCCUCAAAAUAUGGUGCUCCUGUAGUUACUUUCGAACCUUGCUUGCCCUGUGGCUGACAAGGCAUCUUCUUUUUGGACAUUCUUGGGAUCUUCAAAUCGGGUUCACAUAAGGAAGAGUUUUUCCUGGAUGCAGAAAUCUGUGGUUCUUGUGACAUUUUUAGGCACAUCAACUGGUUCACACAGCCCUUCAGAACAGACCCGAGGCUGCAGCACGUCCAUCAGUGCCUGGGCACUUGCACCAUGUUCUUGGAUAAUUAAAGCCACUUUACAUCAAGGGUGAUCCAUAAAGGAAGGCAUUUUGCAUGUGAAAAGCUGCAAAGGGUGGAAGACUUUGGGGUAUCAGCAGUGAGCAGCAAGCAACUGAGAUUGUUAAUGCUACAGUAAGCUGCCUGCUUUUGCAUCUCUAUGGGAUCAUGGAAAGAGGCCACUUGCUGGAUUUCUGUACUUUGUCUUGAUUAAAUGGCUGUUUCAAUUUGAUAUUCACUCCUUUCAUACUUGUAAUCACUUUAAGAUUUUCAUUUUAUAGUAUUCACUUAUUUAACUGCUUGUUUCCUGCCAAGUCUAAAAAAAGAAAGGCUUUUCCCUCCCUUCUCCUUGCAGCAAUAAAGGCAAGAGUUUACACAAAAUUA
Melopsittacus undulatus (budgerigar) is the source of this 2288-nucleotide long non-coding RNA. RefSeq lists it as uncharacterized. The record is from RefSeq and is a predicted model, not a curated record. Lineage: Eukaryota; Metazoa; Chordata; Aves; Psittaciformes; Psittaculidae. The transcript has 4 exons.